UGUCGGGUCGUCCAAGGGCAGGACAGCGGAUUUUGAUUCCGCGAAUGGGGGUUCGAAUCCCUCCCUGACAACCA
This 74-nucleotide transfer RNA is filed under the name Deltaproteobacteria bacterium. Its description in RNAcentral is "tRNA-Gln". It matches the Rfam family "tRNA". From Rfam's summary of the family: Transfer RNA (tRNA) molecules are approximately 80 nucleotides in length. Their secondary structure includes four short double-helical elements and three loops (D, anti-codon, and T loops). The record is from RNAcentral. Lineage: Bacteria; Pseudomonadati; Myxococcota; Myxococcia.